This 435-nucleotide ribosomal RNA is filed under the name uncultured bacterium. RNAcentral describes it as "partial 16S ribosomal RNA". It matches the Rfam family "Bacterial small subunit ribosomal RNA", at positions 29 to 507 of the family's 1533-position model. The record is from RNAcentral.
AGCGAACGCUGGCGGCAUGCCUAACACAUGCAAGUCGAACGAUUGCCUUCGGGUGAUAGUGGCGCACGGGUGCGUAACGCGUGGGAAUCUGCCCUUAGGUUCGGAAUAACAGCUGGAAACGGCUGCUAAUACCGGAUGAUAUCGCGAGAUCAAAGAUUUAUCGCCUGAGGAUGAGCCCGCGUUGGAUUAGGUAGUUGGUGGGGUAAAGGCCUACCAAGCCGACGAUCCAUAGCUGGUCUGAGAGGAUGAUCAGCCACACUGGGACUGAGACACGGUCCAGACUCCUACGGGAGGCAGCAGUGGGGAAUAUUGGACAAUGGGCGCAAGCCUGAUCCAGCAAUGCCGCGUGAGUGAUGAAGGCCCUAGGGUUGUAAAGCUCUUUUACCCGGGAAGAUAAUGACUGUACCGGGAGAAUAAGCCCCGGCUAACUCCGUG